RNAcentral lists this ribosomal RNA (352 nucleotides) under uncultured Gammaproteobacteria bacterium. RNAcentral's name for it is "bacterial SSU rRNA". It matches the Rfam family "Bacterial small subunit ribosomal RNA", at positions 794 to 1145 of the family's 1533-position model. Lineage: Bacteria; Pseudomonadati; Pseudomonadota; Gammaproteobacteria. The record is from RNAcentral.
UCCACGCUGUAAACGAUGUCGACUUGGAGGUUGUGCCCUUGAGGCGUGGCUUCCGGAGCUAACGCGUUAAGUCGACCGCCUGGGGAGUACGGCCGCAAGGUUAAAACUCAAAUGAAUUGACGGGGGCCCGCACAAGCGGUGGAGCAUGUGGUUUAAUUCGAUGCAACGCGAAGAACCUUACCUACUCUUGACAUCCAGAGAACUUGGCAGAGAUGCUUUGGUGCCUUCGGGAACUCUGAGACAGGUGCUGCAUGGCUGUCGUCAGCUCGUGUUGUGAAAUGUUGGGUUAAGUCCCGCAACGAGCGCAACCCUUAUCCUUUGUUGCCAGCGCGUAAUGGCGGGAACUCAAAGG